UCAUGCUUGCCUUGAUUUGCCUAAAAUUGGAAUGACUCAGAGAAGAUUAUCAGGGUCCUUGCAAAGAAUGACAUGAAUGACAUAAAACUUCAGGAAGCACUC
Molecule: small nuclear RNA, 102 nt
Filed under: Mandrillus leucophaeus (drill)
Lineage: Eukaryota; Metazoa; Chordata; Mammalia; Primates; Cercopithecidae
Source: RNAcentral